This is a non-coding RNA of Paramuricea clavata, 525 nucleotides long. NCBI's taxonomy places the organism in Eukaryota, Metazoa, Cnidaria, Anthozoa, Malacalcyonacea, Plexauridae. The record is from the annotation of a GenBank genome assembly.
CUACAGUAGGAAAUGGGUAUUUAAAAACUAGUCAGCAGCUGCAAGAUACAACUGCCUCAUGCCUGGAAACAAUUAUAGCAAUUUUAUUUGGUGGAGAAUAUCACUUACAUAAACUUUGCAGCAAAGAUUUCAAUGUGCCUGGAUUUCAAUAUUAAGUAUGUAUAAACAGAUGUAAAUAUCCAGGCUUAAAUUAAAAUUAAGUGCUGCCAACAGAACCAAUGUACGUGGCAUAUUGUCCACAAAACAAAACAACUAUGCAAGAAUUUAAAAAUAAACAUUGGGCUAGUCAAACUGUUGUAGGAUUACUCUAUUUAGUGAAUAUUUUUAUUAGAAUAAGUGUCAAUGUUACUGUUAUGUGUAGAUACUUUCUUUUUUUCACAAUAUUGUUAAUCCUUGUGUUCAUCUUUGUUAAUCCUUGUGGUCAUCAUUGAUGCAUAUGGUCUUGAAGAAGAACACUGGCCAUUUUGCAAGAGUUGUAAUUGCUCUUCCAAGUUGGAAACAAUAUCUGUUAGGCAUGGCAUUACU